CAGCAGCCGCGGGAAUACGAAGGGGGCUAGCGUUGUUCGGAAUUACUGGGCGUAAAGCGCACGUAGGCGGAUAUUUAAGUCAGGGGUGAAAUCCCAGAGCUCAACUCUGGAACUGCCUUUGAUACUGGGUAUCUUGAGUAUGGAAGAGGUGAGUGGAAUUGCGAGUGUAGAGGUGAAAUUCGUAGAUAUUCGCAGGAACACCAGUGGCGAAGGCGGCUAACUGGUCCAUAACUGACGCUGAGGUGCGAAAGCGUGGGGAGCAAACAGGAUUAGAUACCCCAGUAGUCCCUGUCUCUUAUAC
This 301-nucleotide ribosomal RNA is filed under the name uncultured bacterium. RNAcentral's name for it is "partial 16S ribosomal RNA". It matches the Rfam family "Bacterial small subunit ribosomal RNA", at positions 509 to 807 of the family's 1533-position model. The record is from RNAcentral.